This is a microRNA precursor of Oreochromis aureus, 63 nucleotides long. The record is from Ensembl. NCBI's taxonomy places the organism in Eukaryota, Metazoa, Chordata, Actinopteri, Cichliformes, Cichlidae.
CCAGUCACAGAUUUAGCCUGGACCUUAAAAUAUUGAAUUUUUAGGCUUUAUCCAUGGUUGGAA